AGAAUCAACGCUGGCGGCGUGCUAACACAUGCAAGUCGAACGAGAAAGUGGGGCAAUCCAUGAGUAAAGUGGCGACCGGGUGAGUAACACGUGACUAACCUACCCUGGAGUGGGGGAUAACUGAGGGAAACCUUAGCUAAUACCGCAUAACACCUACGGGUCAAAGGAGCAAUUCGCUUUGGGAGGGGGUCGCGGCCGAUUAGUUAGUUGGCGGGGUAAUGGCCCACCAAGACAGUGAUCGGUAUCCGGCCUGAGAGGGCGCACGGACACACUGGAACUGAAACACGGUCCAGACUCCUACGGGAGGCAGCAGUGGGGAAUUUUGCGCAAUGGGGGAAACCCUGACGCAGCAACGCCGCGUGGAGGAUGAAGUCCUUCGGGACGUAAACUCCUUUCGAUCGGGACGAUAAUGACGGUACCGGAAGAAGAAGCCCCGGCUAACUUCGUGCCAGCAGCCGCGGUAAUACGAGGGGGGCGAGCGUUGUUCGGAAUUAUUGGGCGUAAAGGGUGCGUAGGCGGUUUUGUAAGUCUUAUGUGAAAUCUAUGGGCUCAACUCAUAGACUGCAUGAGAAACUGCAGGGCUUGAGUGUGGGAGAGGUGAGUGGAAUUUCCGGUGUAGCGGUGAAAUGCGUAGAUAUCGGAAGGAACACCUGUGGCGAAAGCGGCUCACUGGACCACAACUGACGCUGAUGCACGAAAGCUAGGGGAGCAAACAGGAUUAGAUACCCUGGUAGUCCUAGCCCUAAACGAUGACUGCUUGGUGUGACGGGUACCCAAUCCCGCCGUGCCGUAGCUAACGCGUUAAGCAGUCCGCCUGGGGAGUACGGUCGCAAGGCUGAA
This 840-nucleotide ribosomal RNA is filed under the name uncultured bacterium. Its description in RNAcentral is "bacterial SSU rRNA". It matches the Rfam family "Bacterial small subunit ribosomal RNA", at positions 26 to 898 of the family's 1533-position model. The record is from RNAcentral.